GCCACACCAUUAAAAGCACCGGCCUAAUAUCCUGUAGGUCCCCCUUGUACUGCCACAACAACUCUAAUGCAUCAAAAACAUUGUAUCCUGUAGAAUCUGGAACAAAGACAUUAGCAGCAGAUCCUAUAAUUCUUGCAAAUUGUGAGGUAGGGACACCAUGGAUUGGAUAUUCUAUUCGAGCACUUCCCACAGAUGCUCAAUGUGUUUAAUUGAAUCGUGGUUUGUGCUUUAUUUCAUGUAAUAUUGGAGUGUUGUUGAAAAUUAUGCAAUAUAUUUGCACUAGAUUGUAUUAAUUGUAUUUGUAGUUUCAUGCACUUAUUUGCAGGUGAGUAUGGGGUUUAUAUUGGAUAGAUGUUUUAGUUGGAUGGAGGCUAUAUAGUUGUAUUGUAUAAUAUUGCAGUCUCUAUUGUGUAAUGGCUAUAUGUACUACUGUUAAAGUAAUGAUUGAUGGAUAAUAUUGUUUAUAUAAUAGAUGUAUUAUGGUAUUAUGUGGACCGCUAUAAGUUUAAUGAAUUACAUUCUCUGUUUUACUGUAUUAUCAAUUGUUACUGUAUUUUUGAUCAGAC
Molecule: non-coding RNA, 566 nt
Organism: Pelobates cultripes (western spadefoot toad)
Lineage: Eukaryota; Metazoa; Chordata; Amphibia; Anura; Pelobatidae
Source: the annotation of a GenBank genome assembly